Molecule: long non-coding RNA, 990 nt
Organism: Peromyscus leucopus (white-footed mouse)
Lineage: Eukaryota; Metazoa; Chordata; Mammalia; Rodentia; Cricetidae
Exons: 3
Source: RefSeq, a predicted model, not a curated record
CUGGGACUCUUCUCUCUUGAAUUAGUCCUUUGAGUAUCAGCUCUGAGUGAAUUGUUUGUCCUUUAGGUAACCCGGAUCCUUGCCAGUUUCAUUCUCUAUUUCUGUUUACCCAGGGUCCAUUUUCUAGGCGUAGCUUGAAAGCUCCCCUUGAAGCUCCUUCUGGAUGGUGGAUCCGAGGAGGCAGAGACCAUUGACAAAUAAGCUGCUGAUGGAGUGGGCCUCGUGGAAGAUGUGUGAUGUAAAUUAAGCCUUGACAGAUUGAGCCACUUAAUCGAAAUAGCACGUUUAAAAAAGAAAUUCCUAGCAAAACAAAAUUCCGGAAACAAUUGGCUUUGCUGUAUAUGCCAUCCACAAUGCUUCUCCGUGGCAAGUGAGGAUUUGGGCUCCGACCAGGAAAACACAAACUGCUGUCAUAUUCAGUGCGGGAACUAAACUCCUAAACUCCAGUAGACUGUAAAACAAGGAACAGAAGAGGGAAGCCAGAAAGGAGCCUUUUGUCAUGAGAAUCAAGCUGAAGUCCCUAAACUGCUAAGGGAGGAGGUCGGGGGUCAUCGGUCAUUAAUUGGAGCAUAACAGAAGAGUGGAGAACAAGGCUUUUCUCUCACUCCAGUUUUGGGGGGAAUGGGAAGUAGAUGUCCACAACACAUUGCUGAAUGUACAAUGUUGUGCACCCUAUGAGUCUAUUCAGAUAAAAAUGUAUGUAUUUAGCAAAGUGAAAGGACAAACGGUGUUUAUCGAAAUAGUAGCGUGGUCAUGUAAACGUAGUGGCAUGAUUAUUGAUUUUACUUAACUACCCUCCGCCUUGUUUUGUACGUGUUCAUUUUCUACACUAAAGAUUACUUUUGAAAGGAGGUUAGGAGACGAGGAGGUUACUGACCCCAGAACAGCCUGUGUAUGUUCCCAAAGCCUCCUUCCGGCAAAGCCAGUGUUUCUGGUUCAGCCUCACAAAGGAUUUCAUAAUAUUGUUUACAUGGUUUGAUGUUGAUUAUU